GCUGGGCGUGGUGGCGCAUGCCUGUAAUCCCAGCUACUCGGGAGGCUGAGGCAGGAGAAUCGCUUGAACCCGGGAGGUGGAGUUUGCAGUGAGCCGAGAUCACGCCAUUGCACUCCAACCUGGGCAACAAGAGUGAAACUCUGUCUCAAAAAAAAGUAAAAAAAAGAAAAUUAGCCGGGCGUGGUGGCAGGUGCCUGUAGUCCCAGCUACUGGGGAGGCUGAGACAGGAGAAUCGCUUGUACCCGGGAAGUGGAGGUUGCAGUGAGCCGAGAUCGCUCCACUGCACUCCAGCCUGGGUGACAAAGUGAGACUCUGUCUCGC
This 321-nucleotide signal recognition particle RNA is filed under the name Gorilla gorilla gorilla (western lowland gorilla). RNAcentral describes it as "Metazoan signal recognition particle RNA". It matches the Rfam family "Metazoan signal recognition particle RNA". From Rfam's summary of the family: The signal recognition particle (SRP) is a universally conserved ribonucleoprotein. It is involved in the co-translational targeting of proteins to membranes. The record is from Rfam by way of RNAcentral. Lineage: Eukaryota; Metazoa; Chordata; Mammalia; Primates; Hominidae.